This 497-nucleotide ribosomal RNA is filed under the name uncultured bacterium. RNAcentral's name for it is "partial 16S ribosomal RNA". It matches the Rfam family "Bacterial small subunit ribosomal RNA", at positions 28 to 507 of the family's 1533-position model. The record is from RNAcentral.
GAUGAACGCUGGCGGCGUGCCUAAUACAUGCAAGUCGAGCGAACAGACGAGGAGCUUGCUCCUCUGACGUUAGCGGCGGACGGGUGAGUAACACGUGGAUAACCUACCUAUAAGACUGGGAUAACUUCGGGAAACCGGAGCUAAUACCGGAUAAUAUAUUGAACCGCAUGGUUCAAUAGUGAAAGACGGUUUUGCUUUCACUUAUAGAUGGAUCCGCGCCGCAUUAGCUAGUUGGUAAGGUAACGGCUUACCAAGGCAACCAUGCGUAGCCGACCUGAGAGGGUGAUCGGCCACACUGGAACUGAGACACGGUCCAGACUCCUACGGGAGGCAGCAGUAGGGAAUCUUCCGCAAUGGGCAGAAGCUUGACGGAGCAACGCCGCGUGAGUGAUGAAGGUCUUCGGAUCGUAAAACUCUGUUAUUAGGGAAGAACAAAUGUGUAAGUAACUAUGCACGGCUUGACGGUACCUAAUCAGAAAGCCACGGCUAACUACGUG